RNAcentral lists this ribosomal RNA (497 nucleotides) under uncultured bacterium. Its description in RNAcentral is "partial 16S ribosomal RNA". It matches the Rfam family "Bacterial small subunit ribosomal RNA", at positions 28 to 507 of the family's 1533-position model. The record is from RNAcentral.
GAUGAACGCUGGCGGCGUGCCUAAUACAUGCAAGUCGAGCGAACGGACGAGAAGCUUGCUUCUCUGAUGUUAGCGGCGGACGGGUGAGUAACACGUGGAUAACCUACCUAUAAGACUGGGAUAACUUCGGGAAACCGUAGCUAAUACCGGAUAAUAUUUUGAACCGCAUGGUUCAAAAGUGAAAGACGGUCUUGCUGUCACUUAUAGAUGGAUCCGCGCUGCAUUAGCUAGUUGGUAAGGUAACGGCUUACCAAGGCAACGAUGCAUAGCCGACCUGAGAGGGGGAUCGGCCACACUGGAACUGAGACACGGUCCAGACUCCUACGGGAGGCAGCAGUAGGGAAUCGUCCGCAAUGGGCGAGAGCCUGACGGAGCAACGCCGCGUGAGUGAUGAAGGUCUUCGGAUCGUAAAACUCUGUUAUUAGGGAAGAACAUAUGUGUAAGUAACUGUGCACAUCUUGACGGUACCUAAUCAGAAAGCCACGGCUAACUACGUG